Molecule: long non-coding RNA, 640 nt
Filed under: Astyanax mexicanus (Mexican tetra)
Lineage: Eukaryota; Metazoa; Chordata; Actinopteri; Characiformes; Acestrorhamphidae
Description: lncRNA (ENSAMXG00005024978.1)
Source: RNAcentral
UCUCCCUCUGUUUUCCAGGCUGCAGCUCCAGGCAAAGAAAUUGGAUUGAUUGAUUGAUUUAUGAGUGUCAAAUGAAGGACACAUAGGCAGACGAGGGGAGAGGGAGCAGGACAGGGAGAGAGAGAGAGAGAGAGAGAGAGAGAGAGAGAAAGGGGAUGGAUGGAUGAAGGCAGGCAGGGAGAGAAGGGGGAAAAAGAAGGAGAAUGGAGGAAUGGAGACAGAGACAAAUGAAAGGAGGGAGACAGAAGGGCGGGAAAAAGUCAGACGCAUGACUGGUGACCUCCGCCUCACUCGGGAACUGAUGCAGUACAUUCAGAACAGCAUUAUCAAAGUUCGGAUGGAAAAGGCCGUUUGCAAUGCUUGGCUGCACAGCAGAGACAUAUUGAUGGGAUAACAGUUCAGUAUGGCUUCCCAUACAGGACAGACCACCUAUAGGACAUGUCAGGACAGCCGGAGACCCAUUCAUCAAACUGCAGCAACACAUCCACCUCAGUGCACACAGGCAGUACACUGUGUUUGGGUGGUACACAACACUUAUAGGGCAUUUUCACACAGUCUGGAUCAAGGUUCACGUGUUAAUUAGUCCAGUUUAUUGUCACACUGCAGAUUAUUUAGCGAUUAAAAAAAAUCUGAUUUUUUU